CUAGCCAUUCACUUCUUUCACAUCAUGAGGAUCUGCAAAUUAACUAUAACGACUUUCUAAGUAGGAAAAAAUCCUACCUGCGAAAGAGGGAGAGCCACAGGUCUCGUUAUGAAGGGAGACCGAAAGGACUGCCAGAGAUGGACAAAAAACAAAGACUGCUGAAGAAAGCUGAGGAAAACUGAGAAAAAGACUGAGGAAGCAAAACAAAAAUCGAAGAAAAGGAAAAGAUAUACGAAACAAGGGAAGAACAGAAGAAGGGUGAAAAGGAUGAAGGAAAGAAGAUGGUGGGAGAGGGAGGUGACCAAGGAAUGGUGAGCCACAGCGGUGUAAUGGUUGGCUGCACUAAAAUCGAAAACCCAAGGUUAGAAACAAAGAGAUGAGGUAGAGGAUAAGCACUGAGAGAAAUUUGUUACACUUGAUUUGUUUUCUUAACAUCAACGAAUAUUCAUUUUUUUUUAUACAAUGCUUACUUCUAUCCAUAAUCAAUAUACGAUUCUUCUAUUGUUUCGUAUAAAUGUCUCGUAUUUUCUUUUUUAAAACAAG
RNAcentral lists this long non-coding RNA (543 nucleotides) under Gossypium barbadense (sea-island cotton). Its description in RNAcentral is "long non-coding RNA (GBAR_LNC016258)". The record is from RNAcentral. Lineage: Eukaryota; Viridiplantae; Streptophyta; Magnoliopsida; Malvales; Malvaceae.